CCUGGUUGAUCCUGCCAGUAGUCAUAUGCUUGUCUAAAAGAUUAAGCCAUGCAUGUAUAAGCUAAAGCUGAUAAAUAGUGAAGCCGCGGACAGCUCAUUAAUACACUCAUAAUCUUCGCAAUGCAUCCAAUAUGGAUAUCUGUGCUAAUUUUAGAGCCAAUACACGCAAUCAAGCCCCUUAAUUGGGGAGCAUUUAUUAGAACAAAACCGAUCGGGGUCUCCCCGCUGUUGGUGAAUCUGAAUAACUGUGCAGAUCGCAGGUCUUUGUACCGGCGACACAUUGCAAGAGUGAGUGCCUUAUCAACUGUCGAUGGUAGUAUAUAUGCCUACCAUGGUUAUUACGGGUAACGGAGAAUUAGGGUUUGACUCCGGAGAGGCAGCCUGAGAGACGGCUACCAGUUCUAAGGAACGCAGCAGGCGCGCAAAUUACACAAUGACAGUAAACUGUUGAUGUAGUGACAAGAGGUAACGGGGCGGUCCUCUAUGAGGCCCGUCAUUGUAUUGAGUAAAACUCAAAAUAUUUAACGAAACCAAUUGGAGGGCAAGUCUGGUGCCAGCAGCCGCGGUAAUUCCAGCUCCAAAAGCAUAUAUUAAAGUUGUUGCGGUUAAAAAGCUCGUAGUUGGAUCCAUGACCUCGGAGGGCGGUCCCCCACUGGGUGCGUACUGCUGCUCCGAGUCCUAUCUGUCAGUUUGUCUGUGUUGCCUUUAAUCGGGUGGCACAGGUGACUGACGUGUUUACUUUGAAAAAAUUAGAGUGUUUAAAGCAGGCGUUGAAUGCCUGAAUAGUGGUGCAUGGAAUAAUGGAAUAGGAUCUCGGUUCUAUUUUGUUGGUUCAAGAGCAUGAGAAAAUGAUUAAGAGGGACAGACGGGGGCAUUUGUAUUGCUGCGUUAGAGGUGAAAUUCUUGGAUCGUAGCAAGACAAACUACUGCGAAGGCAUUUGCCAAGAAUGUUUUCAUUAAUCAAGAACGAAAGUUAGAGGUUCGAAGGCGUUCAGAUACCGCCCUAGUUCUAACCGUAAACCAUGUCGACUAGCUAUCUGUCAGCGUUAAUAAUGACCUGACAGGCAGCUUACCGGAAACGAAAGUUUCUCGAUUCCGGGGGUAGUAUGGUUGCAAAGCUGAAACUUAAAGGAAUUGACGGAAGGGCACCACCAGGAGUGCAGCCUGCGGCUUAAUUUGACCCAACACGGGAAAACUCACCCGGCCCGGACACCGUAAGGAUUGACAGAUUAAUAGCUCUUUCUCGAUUUGGUGAUUGGUGGUGCAUGGCCGUUCUUAGUUGGUGGAGCGAUUUGUCUGGUUAAUUCCGAUAACGAACGAGAUUCUAACUUACUAACUAGUUCCACGAUCCUUGUGGUCCUAAAUACUUCUUAGAGGGAAAACCGG
RNAcentral lists this ribosomal RNA (1386 nucleotides) under metagenome. Its description in RNAcentral is "SSU rRNA". It matches the Rfam family "Eukaryotic small subunit ribosomal RNA", at positions 3 to 1426 of the family's 1831-position model. The record is from RNAcentral.